RNAcentral lists this ribosomal RNA (142 nucleotides) under uncultured bacterium. Its description in RNAcentral is "partial 16S ribosomal RNA". It matches the Rfam family "Bacterial small subunit ribosomal RNA", at positions 1360 to 1500 of the family's 1533-position model. The record is from RNAcentral.
CGGUGAAUACGUUCCCGGGUCUUGUACACACCGCCCGUCACACCAUGGGAGUCGGAAAUGCCCGAAGCCGGUGGCCUAACCGAUAAGGGAGGAGCCGUCGAAGGCAGGUCUGAUGACUGGGGUGAAGUCGUAACAAGGUACC